AGCGAACGCUGGCGGCGUGCUUAACACAUGCAAGUCGAGCGAAGGUGUUUCAAGGGUAACCUUGAGAUACACUCAGCGGCGGACGGGUGAGUAAUACGUGGAUAACUUACCUCUAGGCCUGGGAUAACCCCGGGAAACUGGGGCUAAUACCUGAUAAGACCACAUUGUCUACGGACAAAGGGGUAAAAGGUGGCUGUGCAAACAGCUAUCGCCAAAAGAUAGGUUCACGUCCCAUCAGGCAGUUGGUGAGGUAAUGGCUCACCAAACCAAAGACGGGUAGCCGGCCUUGGCGGGUGAACGGCCACACGGGGACUGAGACACGGCCCCGACUCC
Molecule: ribosomal RNA, 333 nt
Filed under: uncultured bacterium
Lineage: Bacteria
Description: bacterial SSU rRNA
Rfam family: Bacterial small subunit ribosomal RNA
Source: RNAcentral